UAGGUCGAGUCUCUGCUUUCCCAGUGUCCGUGAAAGCUCCACUUCCGUCGUUGUCCAAUCACGUUGCUCGGGGCAGGUUUGAACCAGAGGCGCCUGUGUGGAGCUGUAGCUGUAACAGUCCGAUCAACCAGACACCAUGGACGAGGCUUUUCUGGAGAGUUGCCGGGUCAACAACAAGAUCUACAAAGAGUCACUGGACAGAAUCAUAGACAAGUACUCCAAGUUCCAGGACCUCGGCGAAGAGUUUGCAGUGGACCUCAACUGUAUCCACCCCAGACAACUUCAUAAACGAUUGAAGAAGGUAGAAAAUACCCUGUGUGACACAUCAAAGAUCCUGACGGAUUUGGAAGAGACAUCGGACAGCUCACAAGACAACACAAGUGGUUCUCAGCUGGACGCCACACUUGAAGAUGGGGAGAUGUAUGAAAGUGUGUCUUUCAGUCCCGAUCCUGCAGAUGUUUCUGAGAUGUCAGGACAUCAAACCCUGUUGUCUUUAAGCUCAUUGGAAGAUAGUCAGAAAGGUUUUCCAGAUGUUGAGCUCCAGCUGCCCGAGGAGCAGAAUGAGGAGCUCCAAAUGUCCCUGAGCAGUAACGGCAGCUCUUUAAUGGACAUCUAUCCCAGCAUGAUCAACAGGAUUGAGCAGGCCUGGCAUCGGCAGCACGUCUCCCUCACGGCCAACGCCGUAUUGAGGAGGUACCGCAGGUGGAGGAAGCAGUUGAAUAAGAGCACUCUCAACAACUCCUCUGUGGUUUCCAGCACAUCAAGUACUAACAAAAACCCGAAAGAGAUCAAUAACAAAAACAGUCGGCUCAGAAACCCCAGUGGCCCUGUGAUAAGGAGUGCUGCAAAAGAGUCUCUGUUAAAGGCUGUGACUGUUAUACCUUGUAAGCAGAGUCCAAAAAAGCAGUGCCGCCCCAUCACUGUGAUGGACUUCUCUGAUUCUGACAUCUCUAUGAAUGAGACUGUUACAGUGUCUGAGCAGUCUCCCCCUGACCAGAACCAGAGCUACAUCCAGGAGCAUGACACUAAGAGUUCUUUCAGGACAAAAUGCAGGUUUCCUAGUUUCUCCAGCCCCUCACAAAAGCUCUCUGAGUCUGGACCAUCAACGAGUCCAAAAAAGCAGUGCUGCCCCAUCACUGUGAUGGACUUCUCUGAUUCUGACAUCUCUCUGAAUGAGACCUUUUCAGUGUCUGAGCGGUCUCUCCCUGACCAGAACCAGAGCUACAUCCAGGAACAUAAUACUAAGAGUCCUUUCAGGACAAAAUGGCGGUUUUCCAGUUUCUCCAGCCCCUCGCAUAAUCUCUCUGGACCAUCAAAGGCUCCUGAGAUCUCUCUGAACGAGACCAUUACGGUGUCUGAGCAGUCUCUCCCUGACCAGAACCAGAGCUACAUCCAGGAUAUCUUGUAUACAGCUAGUCCUACACACCCUGUCCGCUCGACUGCUAAAGCAUCCAUGAGUCCAAUGCUCAAGUAUAAAAGACUCCAGCCUUUAUCACAGACUGCAGACAUCCCCACUGUAAGGAGGAGCUCUCCUGUAAGACAGAGUCCACUCAAAGUCCAGUUGAUGACCAGCCACAACCAAUCACCUCACAAGUUUAAUAAAACUCCCGUCGUAGAUGUAAUGGAACAUGAUAAUAAGAGUUCUUUCAGGACAAAAUGCAGGUUUCCUAGUUUCUCCAGCCCCUCACAAAAGCUCUCUGAGUCUGGACCAUCAACGAGUCCAAAAAAGCAGUGCUGCCCCAUCACUGUGAUGGACUUCUCUGAUUCUGACAUCUCUCUGAAUGAGACCUUUGCAGUGUCUGAGCGGUCUCCCCCUGACCAGAACCAGAGCUACAUCCAGGAACAUAAUACUAAGAGUCCUUUCAGGACAAAAUGGCGGUUUUCCAGUUUCUCCAGCCCCUCGCAUAAUCUCUCUGGACCAUCAAAGGCUCCUGAGAUCUCUCUGAACGAGACCAUUACGGUGUCUGAGCAGUCUCUCCCUGACCAGAACCAGAGCUACAUCCAGGAUAUCUUGUAUACAGCUAGUCCUACACACCCUGCUAAAGCAUCCAUGAGUCCAAUGCUCAAGUUUAAAAGACUCCAGUCUUUAUCACAGAGUGCAAGGGACUCCAUGUGCACAUCAGACAUCCCCUCUGUUAGAAGGAGCUCUCCUGUAAGACAGAGUCCACUCAAAGUCCAAUUGAUCACCAGCCUCAGCCAAUCACCUCACAUGUUGAGUAAGAUUCCUGUCGUAGAUGUAAUGGGACAUGAUACCAAGAGUCCUUUAAGGACAAAAUGGCAGUUUUCAAGUUUCUCCUGCCCCUCACAAAAGCUCUCUGACCCAUCAAAGAUUCCAACUCCAAACUCCCAGAGAGUCUUUUCCCCACAGCGUCCCAGAGCCCACAGCAGACGCCACCUGUCCUUUGACUCCACCCAGCCCUUGGCCCCUCUUUCACCCCAACAAGUGGAUUCUGAGUUCAGACGGGUUUUCCAGAAGUUUGUUUGCCUGAACAAACAUGCUCCAUCUCAGACUCAUGCUUGCAGCCUCUGUGCUAGUAAUCAUUCGUCCUCAGUCCUGGCAGCUCUGGCCUUGUCCCCACACUGCUCCAACCAGAGGAAGCGCUACAGAGGGGUCGAACCGGGCACUGACCCCCAGUCCAAACGUUUAAGAGUGAAACGCAGCAUGCAUUCACCAGGAUCCAAACGGCUCGAAAAUGAAAACCUGCGCCGCUGUCUCUAUCCUGCUCGACCACCUCGUGGGACCUUACCUUGUUUCUCCAGUGAUAAUGGAAGGUCUCAUGCCUUCACCCCACGGAGAUUUUUAGACCACUUGAAACUCUACAAAAACUCCUAUGGAUAAUCACCUGCAGAUUGAGUGUUUGACCAGGGUGAGUGCCAACAAACCCCAUUAAAAAUAUAAAAUGCCAAUAGAGGCAUGGUUGUGAUAAGCAAAUCAUUUACGCCAUGCACUCUGUGUAAUAUUAAAACUAGCACUGCAUCAACGUCAAGAAUAGUGGUUA
RNAcentral lists this long non-coding RNA (2999 nucleotides) under Gouania willdenowi (blunt-snouted clingfish). Its description in RNAcentral is "lncRNA (ENSGWIG00000012513.1)". Lineage: Eukaryota; Metazoa; Chordata; Actinopteri; Blenniiformes; Gobiesocidae. The record is from RNAcentral.